CUUGUGUUUGUGGGAGUUCUCACAUUUUCUACUAGCGAGCUUUUUACACAAUGACCUAAAACCCCUCUUAAUUGGCCACUGCCCAUAAAUCAGUAAAACUGCACAAUUUUGAGCAUUACUUUAGUCCAUUUAUUAAAAUUCCAAUUACACAGUUUGGAUAAGGGAGUAUUGUUAGGGAUUACUUUUAUUUGAGUCAGCAAUUUGCAUGAUGUCUGCUGGAAAAUCAACAGAGGGUAUCAGAUCACAUGAAUUGGUUUCUUAGAAAGGGCAGAAAUAUGUCCUUAUCAUGGUCAUUCCUGCCAUGAGUUCCUCUAGUCUCCAAACUUUGAAUUGGGGCCCUCUGUGAACUCUCUUUACUGUCUACUCUUUACUUAAGAUAGCUUGAAGCAUCCAUAUAACCAGGAAACUAAAGUCUGUAAGAGAACAAUGAACACACACAAGUAGGCUAUUACUCCAGAUCCUCCUUGAUUUUUCCUAACUUACUCCUGCUUUAGUGGAGUUAUUCAGAUGGUUUCAAAUCUAAACUUCAACUUUUUCCUCUAUGAUGUUGCAUUUGGAUUAAGACAAUCAGCUUUUUUCUUCUCAUAGAUGGCCUCGAAUCAUUUGGCUACAAUAGCUAUCUUUUGGGACUCUUCUUCCAGUCAUGGCCACAUUCUUCUUGCAGAUGAGCUGGUGGGUUACCACAAUACUGUCUGCUGACUGGUGCCUUUUAUUUGAUAUCUCAGGGCUUAUGAUACUCCAGAGUGCAUCCACCAUGUCACAGAAAAAUCCUGAAGGACAAGGAUUUCUCAGGCCCUUUACUCUUCUAGAUGCUUAGUGCUCUUCCAGAAUUUUCAAAGCUUCAAUACUGUCAUAAUACAUGAUCAUCACUGAUUUGUAUUUAUCCAUGAAUAAUGCAGAAAGCAUAAAUAAUCACGAUUUUAAUCAUUGAGAUAAUGCACCCUAGGCAUAGUCAAAAGGGCAACGAGUGCCAAACUCCUUUGACACAUUUGAGUAAGGAUUUAUAUAUUCAUAAUCACCAUCUACGUCUGUCAAGCUUCCAGUUUGCCAGUUAUUAAUAAUUGGAUGAAUGCUGAUGUACCGUUUAAACAAAAGCAAUUUCCUAGAAGACCCUCCCCAUUCCAGGAGAUGCAGUGAGGUACUAGCAGUGAUAUAUGCCUCUACUAAUAUCUCCUCUGUCCACUGCUGCUCUAACAGGAAAGCAGGAGAAGAGGCUGGGUGACUCAGUUUUCUCAUGUGAUGUAUUAAGCCUCAUUCCAGGCUACAGGUUUCUAACGACCCACAUGUAAGUCAGCUGAAUAAGAAAAUUCUUAUGUUCACACUCCUUUCAGCCACUGAUAUUUUUAAGUCAAAAAAGCAAAGAUGGAGCACUUAACUAUCAUUUCUUCUUGUGGCUAAGAUUACUGUUUACAAACGGGAAAUGUUCAAUUUCUCUGACUACUGAAACAGAAAGUUACAAAGUUUGACAGGUGGAGCUUCAAAAUUGUUUCAUAAAUACAUAACUUCUUUCUCCUUAGAAGUUAGCAGAGGGUGACAGGGACAUCAGCAAGCAAGACAAUGAUAGCUGCAUUUCUGAAGACUGCUGUGGAAGAAGUAUCCAGUGAGGCUCAAGCCAAAGAAAUCCACCAAAGAUUUCUGCUUCCUCUAUACCCAGAUGCUUUAAGUAAUCUCAGCUGUACUGAAGGUUAUCAAGACCAGAAAAGCAAGAAAAGAGUAGUCACUUUUAAUUUAAAUCUGGAAGGUGAAGUGAAGAACCCUCCUAUCAAUCAAUUAAGUGAUGUUGACAUUGAUUUUGUAAAAGCUGAGAUUUUCAUUUCAACAAUAGAUUCAGUAGAAAUACCCCACAAUAUAUGUGCUUUAUAUCUGAGUUGUAGGUUAAGUUGCUUUCUUUUUAAAACAUUUCUUCUUGUACUGUUCUGUAUUUUUUAAAAAAACUACAAUUUGCAUCUCUAACAUCCAUAAAGCAAAUACAUAAAAUUUCUUUUUUAAAGGGCACUGUCUGCCAAAGUGUGAGAUAUGGCCUUUUUAAUUCAGAAGUGAGCUAUUUGAUAAUGGUUGAUUUGUGCAUGUGAGGCACACCGGG
This is a long non-coding RNA of Equus asinus (donkey), 2083 nucleotides long. Lineage: Eukaryota; Metazoa; Chordata; Mammalia; Perissodactyla; Equidae. The record is from Ensembl.